CCCGCUGAACUUAAGCAUAUCAAUAAGCGGAGGAAAAGAAACUAACAAGGAUUCCCCUAGUAACUGCGAGUGAAGCGGGAAAAGCUCAAAUUUAAAAUCUGGCGGUCUCGCGGCCGUCCGAGUUGUAAUCUAGAGAAGCGUUUUCCGCGUCGGACCGUGUACAAGUCUUCUGGAACGGAGCGUCGUAGAGGGUGAGAAUCCCGUCUCUGACACGGACAGCCGAUGCUUCAUGUGAUACGCUCUCGAAGAGUCGAGUUGUUUGGGAAUGCAGCUCAAAAUGGGUGGUAAAUUCCAUCUAAAGCUAAAUACAGGCGAGAGACCGAUAGCGAACAAGUACCGUGAGGGAAAGAUGAAAAGAACUUUGGAAAGAGAGUUAAACAGUACGUGAAAUUGCUGAAAGGGAAACGCUUGAUGUCAGUCGCGUCGGCCGGGGAUCAGCCUUGCUCUUUUGCUCGGCGUACUUCCUGGUCGACGGGUCAGCAUCGGUUUCGAUCGUCGGAGAAUGGCUCGAGGAAUGUGGCACUCUUCGGAGUGUGUUAUAGACUCGGGUCGAAUACGACGCUCGGGACCGAGGAACUCAGCACGACCUUCACCGGUUCGGAGCUUCGGCUCACGUUAACGUGCUUAGGAUGCUGGCAUAAUGGCCUUAAGCGACCCGUCUUGAAACACGG
RNAcentral lists this ribosomal RNA (671 nucleotides) under uncultured fungus. RNAcentral's name for it is "eukaryotic LSU rRNA". It matches the Rfam family "Eukaryotic large subunit ribosomal RNA", at positions 24 to 664 of the family's 3401-position model. Lineage: Eukaryota; Fungi. The record is from RNAcentral.